CAAGACAUUUUGCAGGAGAACUUAAGGCCAUCUGUCUACCAGCUGAAGCGCAACAGAAGAUGGGUGUUGCAACAGGACAAUGACCCAAAAUAGAGGUAAAUCAACAACAGAAUGGCUUAAACAGAAGAAAAUACACCUUCUGAAGUGGCCCAAUCAGAGUCCUGACCUCAACCCGAUUGAGAUGCUGUGGCAUGACCUCAAGAAAGCGAUUCACACCAGACAUCCCAAGAAUAUUGCUGAACUGAAACAGUUCUGUAAAGAGGAAUGGUCAAAAAAUUACUCCUGACUGUUGUGCAUGUCUGAUCUGCAACUACAGGAAACGUUUGGUUGAAGUUAUUGCUGCCAGAGGAGGUUCAGCC
Molecule: non-coding RNA, 359 nt
Organism: Pelobates cultripes (western spadefoot toad)
Lineage: Eukaryota; Metazoa; Chordata; Amphibia; Anura; Pelobatidae
Source: the annotation of a GenBank genome assembly